AUGCGCAGUAGCAGCAGCACCCAGCCAGCACCCUCUGCAGCUGCAAACCAGUCACACUUCCACCCACCGGUCACACUGCAGCAGGGGAUCGAGGGCCAACGAGGAGAAGUAGAUUCCCGCCCGGCAGAGGGGCAGAAUGGGGGCAGGAGAGUUAGCAAAGGUGACAUCUUCUCGGGGGGAGCCGAGACUGAACAAGGCUGGGGGGCUGUGGGCCCAUCCCAGGCAGAAAGGGCAUGAGGGUAGGGAGGGAGCACAGAGGGAGCCAGCGAGGAGUCCAGCAGGUGGGGCGGUACCCCAGCCCGGGGUCAGACAGAAAUGAAGCAGGGGACACAGGACAGAGGGGUCCCCAGCUGCCGCACUCACCCACUGUAAUUCAUUUAGUAGAAGGCACAGGGGCAGCUCUGGCAGGGCCCUCUCAGGCCAAUGCCGGAGCCUCGAGGGCUGGAGAGAGAGCGGGAAGGCAGGCAGUGCUCAGGGAGCAGCAGCAGGAUGUCACCAGGAGGGCAAAGCGGCCGUGGGAGGGGGUCCCGGGACAUUGCGCAGCGAGGAGGCUGCAGGGGCCCCGCCCGCGGGCGCCGUUCCCACGAGGCACUGCGGCCCAGGGUCUGGUGCGGAGAGGGCUCACAGUGGACUUGGUGACGCUGUAUGCCCUCACCGCCCAGCCCCUGGGACUGGCUUGACAGACAGUUCAGCAUCCAGGGGAGUCAAGGGCACGGGGCGAGACCAGACUAGGCGAGGCGGGCGGGGGGGAGUGAAUGAGUGUUCUCAGGAGGGAGGCGGGCACAGGCAGGGCGAGGAGCAGAGCAGGCGGCGGUCCUGGGGCACUGGCCUCCAGAGCCCGUGGCCAAGGCGGGCCUCGCGGGCGGCGAUGGAGCAGGGAUCGGUGCCUCGGCGUUCGGGCUGGAGACAAGGCCAGGUCUCCAGCUGGGGUGGACGAGCCCACCAGCCACCGAAGGCCAGGACGCCAGGUCCGGCGGACGUGCGGAGAGGGACAUGACAUGGUCCGGAGUGACGGCGAGGACAGAGGAGGCGCGUCCGGCCUUCCUGGACAUCUUCAGCUGGCGGAGCAGGCUGCGGCAAGAGGCGGGUCUCUUCCUUGACUUCCCCGACGGGGUCGGCACACUACUGCCGGUCUUUGGAUUCCCAGAACCCACACAAUGCAAGAAAUGGUGCUACCCAGCUCACGCCUGGGCCUUUGAAUCCGGAAACGUCUGCAAGUACCUCUCACUGAUAACAGGAAUACUGCACUUUAAACCACUGCACACCCUCACUCAGGAAUCGGCCCCAGAAGGUGAAGCUGAAGGAACGAGACCUCAUCAACCCAACACCAAAGACGCCAUCGGAACAGCGGCGCCCGCAGCACCCACCCCCCGCCAGCGACUCCAUCUUCGUGGCCACCCCCUGCCGUGGACAGUUGACCACCAGCCACUACGUCAUCCCAGCGCUGAGCUCCUCCAGCGGGAUGACCCCGUCCCACCACCUCCCUCUUCUUUUUCUUCAUCCUCCUAUCUCUUUGCUUCGACCUUUCCUGUCUUUCUUCCUGAGAGACUCGAAGCCUCCCAGCUCCGUCCCCCGCCCCUUCUGAAUUCAUUUGCACUAAGUCGUUUGCACUGGUUGGAGCUGUGUAGACGGCCUUGAGUCUCCGUGUGAGUGUGUGUGUGAGUGAGAGCCACCUUGGCAAGUGCCCGCCCGGGGCCCAGGCGCCCUCCAACUGGGCCGGGGGACCGGGUGCGGGUCGUGUGCCUGAGGCCUCGCCCACCCUCACCGAGUCUGGAGCAUUUCAUUACGCCCUAUCUCGCUCCGUGCCCCUCCCUACCAGGGCUUCAGCAGGAGCCCUGGACUCAUUAUCAAUAAACUCUGUUACAUCAA
Non-coding RNA from Saimiri boliviensis boliviensis (Bolivian squirrel monkey), 1869 nucleotides. The record is from RefSeq and is a predicted model, not a curated record. NCBI's taxonomy places the organism in Eukaryota, Metazoa, Chordata, Mammalia, Primates, Cebidae.